GUGACAGCCCCGUACACAAAAAUGCACAUGCUGUGAGCUCGAUGAGUAGGGCGGGACACGUGGUAUCCUGUCUGAAUAUGGGGGGACCAUCCUCCAAGGCUAAAUACUCCUGACUGACCGAUAGUGAACCAGUACCGUGAGGGAAAGGCGAAAAGAACCCCGGCGAGGGGAGUGAAAAAGAACCUGAAACCGUGUACGUACAAGCAGUGGGAGCACAGAGCAAUCUGUGUGACUGCGUACCUUUUGUAUAAUGGGUCAGCGACUUAUAUUCUGUAGCAAGGUUAACCGAAUAGGGGAGCCGAAGGGAAACCGAGUCUUAACUGGGCGUUAAGUUGCAGGGUAUAGACCCGAAACCCGGUGAUCUAGCCAUGGGCAGGUUGAAGGUUGGGUAACACUAACUGGAGGACCGAACCGACUAAUGUUGAAAAAUUAGCGGAUGACUUGUGGCUGGGGGUGAAAGGCCAAUCAAACCGGGAGAUAGCUGGUUCUCCCCGAAAGCUAUUUAGGUAGCGCCUCGUGAAUUCAUCUCCGGGGGUAGAGCACUGUUUCGGCAAGGGGGUCAUCCCGACUUACCAACCCGAUGCAAACUGCGAAUACCGGAGAAUGUUAUCACGGGAGACACACGGCGGGUGCUAACGUCCGUCGUGAAGAGGGAAACAACCCAGACCGCCAGCUAAGGUCCCAAAGUCAUGGUUAAGUGGGAAACGAUGUGGGAAGGCCCAGACAGCCAGGAUGUUGGCUUAGAAGCAGCCAUCAUUUAAAGAAAGCGUAAUAGCUCACUGGUCGAGUCGGCCUGCGCGGAAGAUGUAACGGGGCUAAACCAUGCACCGAAGCUGCGGCAGCGACGCUUAUGCGUUGUUGGGUAGGGGAGCGUUCUGUAAGCCUGUGAAGGUGUGCUGUGAGGCAUGCUGGAGGUAUCAGAAGUGCGAAUGCUGACAUAAGUAACGAUAAAGCGGGUGAAAAGCCCGCUCGCCGGAAGACCAAGGGUUCCUGUCCAACGUUAAUCGGGGCAGGGUGAGUCGACCCCUAAGGCGAGGCCGAAAGGCGUAGUCGAUGGGAAACAGGUUAAUAUUCCUGUAC
This 1080-nucleotide ribosomal RNA is filed under the name Staphylococcus succinus. RNAcentral's name for it is "bacterial LSU rRNA". It matches the Rfam family "Bacterial large subunit ribosomal RNA", at positions 364 to 1444 of the family's 2925-position model. Lineage: Bacteria; Bacillati; Bacillota; Bacilli; Caryophanales; Staphylococcaceae. The record is from RNAcentral.